CAGAGACUGCAAGCGUUAUUCGGAUUCACUGGGCGUAAAGGGUGCGCAGGCGGUCGUGUGUGUCAGAUGUGAAAUCCCGGAGCUUAACUCCGGAACUGCGUCUGAGACUACAUGACUAGAGCAUUGGAGAGGGAAGUGGAAUUCAUGGUGUAGCAGUGAAAUGCGUAGAUAUCAUGAGGAACACCAGAGGCGAAGGCGACUUCCUGGACAAUUGCUGACGCUCAGGCACGAAAGCAUGGGGAGCAAAAGGGAUUAGAUACCCCUGUAGUCCAUGCCCUAAACGGUGCACACUAGGUCUUGGAGGAUUCGACCCCUUCAGGGCCCAAGCUAACGCGUUAAGUGUGCCGCCUGAGGACUACGGUCGCAAGACUA
RNAcentral lists this ribosomal RNA (372 nucleotides) under uncultured organism. RNAcentral's name for it is "bacterial SSU rRNA". It matches the Rfam family "Bacterial small subunit ribosomal RNA", at positions 526 to 896 of the family's 1533-position model. The record is from RNAcentral.